AUUGAACGCUGGCGGCAUGCCUUACACAUGCAAGUCGAACGGCAGCGGGGGAGAAGCUUGCUUUUCCUGCCGGCGAGUGGCGAACGGGUGAGUAAUACAUCGGAACGUGCCCUGUAGUGGGGGAUAACUAGUCGAAAGAUUAGCUAAUACCGCAUACGACCUGAGGGUGAAAGUGGGAGACCGCAAGGCCUCAUGCUAUAGGAGCGGCCGAUGUCUGAUUAGCUAGUUGGUGGGGUAAAGGCCUACCAAGGCGACGAUCAGUAGCUGGUCUGGGAGGACGAUCAGCCACCCUGGGACUGAGAGACGGCCCAGACUCCUACGGGGGGCAGGAGUGGGGAAUUUUGGACAAUGGGCGAAAGCCUGAUCCAGCAAUGCCGCGUGUGUGAAGAAGGCCUUCGGGUUGUAAAGCACUUUUGUCCGGAAAGAAAUGGCUCUGGUUAAUACCUGGGGUCGAUGACGGUACCGGAAGAAUAAGGACCGGCUAACUACGUGCCAGCCGCCGCGGUAA
Molecule: ribosomal RNA, 508 nt
Filed under: uncultured bacterium
Lineage: Bacteria
Description: partial 16S ribosomal RNA
Rfam family: Bacterial small subunit ribosomal RNA
Source: RNAcentral